UAGCCUAACGGCUGAACCAGCAACUUGGAGGAAUUAUUAGCAUGGCUAUGAUGUAAUAAUUGUUACAUAAAUCGAUUUACUCGAAUAAAAUUCAAGGUAGAUAAUGAUGAUGACAUUUUCUAUUUAAAGUCUUGACCAAUAUACGUGCCAGCAGUCGCGGUAACACGUAAGAGGCUAGCGUUAUUCAUCUUUAAUAGGUUUAAAGCGUUCCUAGACGGUUAAUUAAGGGUUUUAUACUAUUAUGUAAUUAGUCUACUGAUUAAACUAGAGUUACAUGUAAGGGUGCUAUAAAGUACUAAUGAGUGUAGAGAUGAAAUUCUGUGAUACGAAAUAUGUAAGUAAGGCACAGGUAACGGCGAAGGCAUCACCUUAUGUAAUAACUGACGUUAAAGGACGAAGGCUCUUAAUAACAAAAAGGAUUAGGUACCCAAGUAGUUGGAGCAGAAAAUGAUGAAUGUCAUAGAUUAGAGUUAAAUUUAGUUUAUAAAUGAAAGUGUAAGCAUUCCACCUCAAGAGUAAAAUGGCAACGUUGGAACUGAAAUCAUUAGUCCGUUUCUGAUACAAGUAGUGAAGUAUGUUGUUUAAUUUGAUAAUCCGCAAAAAAUCUUACCACAAUUUGAAUAGUAUAAAUUACAUUAUAAUUACAAGCGUUGCACGGCUGUUUUAAGUUAAUAUCGUGAGAUUUUGGUAAAUCCAAUAAUUAACGUAAACCCUUACUUUAUUUUUAUAUAUGGUAGCAACACUCGAUUAACAGAGGUAAUAGGGACUAAGACAAGUCAUCAUGGCCUAAAUAUUGUGGGCUAUAGA
Molecule: ribosomal RNA, 807 nt
Filed under: Coccocarpia palmicola
Lineage: Eukaryota; Fungi; Ascomycota; Lecanoromycetes; Peltigerales; Coccocarpiaceae
Description: SSU rRNA
Rfam family: Bacterial small subunit ribosomal RNA
Source: RNAcentral